GCUCCCGUCGUCUAGUGGCCCAGGACAACUGGUUCUCAGCCAGUGAACAGGGGUUCGACUCCCCUCGGGAGUACCA
Molecule: transfer RNA, 76 nt
Filed under: Planctomycetota bacterium
Lineage: Bacteria; Pseudomonadati; Planctomycetota
Also listed under: 1 other name
Description: Planctomycetes bacterium (soil metagenome) tRNA-Glu
Rfam family: tRNA
About the family: Transfer RNA (tRNA) molecules are approximately 80 nucleotides in length. Their secondary structure includes four short double-helical elements and three loops (D, anti-codon, and T loops).
Source: RNAcentral